Long non-coding RNA from Leguminivora glycinivorella, 1199 nucleotides. RefSeq lists it as uncharacterized. The record is from RefSeq and is a predicted model, not a curated record. Lineage: Eukaryota; Metazoa; Arthropoda; Insecta; Lepidoptera; Tortricidae. The transcript has 4 exons.
CAACCGUUGAUGAGAAAUGAAGGUGACGCGGGCGGACCUAAGACAAAUUAUGUGGUGUGGUUUGCUGUGGCACUGGGCUCAUUUUGCAUAUUGCCAUUUGGACAGCGGAUUCGUAGAUCAAUCUCAUUGAUAAGUGAAGAUACCUUAUCAGUGUAAGUCGAGGCGACAUACAUCAAUAAGCCAGUUGUUGCCAACCGUUGAUGAGAAAUGAAGGUGACGCGGGCGGACCUAAGACAAAUUAUGUGGUGUGGUUUGCUGUGGCACUGGGCUCAUUUUGCAUAUUGCCAUUUGGACAGCGGAUUCGUAGAUCAAUCUCAUUGAUAAGUGAAGAUACCUUAUCAGUGUAAGUCGAGGCGACAUACAUCAAUAAGCCAGUUGUUGCCAACCGUUGAUGAGAAAUGAAGGUGACGCGGGCGGACCUAAGACAAAUUAUGUGGUGUGGUUUGCUGUGGCACUGGGCUCAUUUUGCAUAUUGCCAUUUGGACAGCGGAUUCGUAGAUCAAUCUCAUUGAUAAGUGAAGGACCAUCGUCGAAAAAUAUGCGUACAUUCUCACCAGUACGUACCGAGCGAGCGAGUAGCGAGCAGGCGGGUGUGUCGUCCACGCCACUGUCUUUACGAUCAUUUACAGUUUUCUAAGUAUGAAAGGGUUUUGUUUUUGUUAGGAAGGGAUUUGUGUGAAAGGUGUUUGGUGAAUGGAUGCAGUGACUGUUGCAGUGAGAACGAAGUUAAAAAAAUACGACAGGUGAUUUUGACAUGUUCAUGAAAGUUAUAAUUUUAGGUUUAGUGUAGAAUAGGCAAAUUAGGUUUAGCGUAGAUUAUGUAGUAGGUAGAGUAGAGGUUUAGCUUAGAUUUAGGUACGUAGGCUAUGUUAGGUUAUUUUCAAGAGAGCAUAAAAGCGCUGCAAACUUGUAUCCCUACUGGCUGCUUGGCGUUAUCAUCGCGGUGUCUGUCCAUCGGCCCGCCGCCCGCCGCUCGCUAUCACCGCGGUGCCCUCAGUCCAUCGGCCCGCCGCCCGCCGCCCGCCGCCUGCCGCCCGCCGCUCGCUAUCACCGCGGUAUCAUCUGUCCACCGCCGCGCCGCUCGCCGCUCGCAAUCACCGCUCGCUACUCGCUAUCACCGCGGUGCCCUCAGUCCAUUGGCCCGCCGCCCGCCGCCCGCCGCUCACUAUAACCGCGGUAUCAUCUGUCCACCGCCGCGC